RNAcentral lists this ribosomal RNA (468 nucleotides) under uncultured bacterium. RNAcentral's name for it is "partial 16S ribosomal RNA". It matches the Rfam family "Bacterial small subunit ribosomal RNA", at positions 28 to 507 of the family's 1533-position model. The record is from RNAcentral.
GACGAACGCUGGCGGCGUGCUUAACACAUGCAAGUCGAACGGAAAGGCCCUGCUUUUGUGGGGUGCUCGAGUGGCGAACGGGUGAGUAACACGUGAGUAACCUGCCCUUGACUUUGGGAUAACUUCAGGAAACUGGGGCUAAUACCGGAUAGGAGCUCCUGCUGCAUGGUGUGGGUUGGAAAGUUUCGGCGGUUGGGGAUGGACUCGCGGCUUAUCAGCUUGUUGGUGGGGUAGUGGCUUACCAAGGCUUUGACGGGUAGCCGGCCUGAGAGGGUGACCAGCCACAUUGGGACUGAGAGACGGCCCAGACUCCUACGGGAGGCAGCAGUGGGAAAUACUGCAGAAUGGGCGGAAGCGUGAUGCAGCAACGCCGCGUGCGGGAUGACGGCCUUCGGGUUGUAAACCGCUGUCGCCUGUGACGAAGCGUGAGUGACGGUAAUGGGUAAAGAAGCACCGGCUAACUACGUG